UGGAGGAAAGCAGGGGAUCGCAAGACCUUGCGCUUUUGGAGUGGCCGAUGCCUGAUUAGCUAGUUGGUGGGGUAAUGGCCUACCAAGGCGACGAUCAGUAGUUGGUCUGGGAGGACGACCAGCCACACUGGGACUGAGACACGGCCCAGACUCCUACGGGAGGCAGCAGUGGGGAAUUUUGGACAAUGGGCGAAAGCCUGAUCCAGCAAUGCCGCGUGAGUGAAGAAGGCCUUCGGGUUGUAAAGCUCUUUCAGUCGAGAAGAAAAGGUUGUGACUAAUAAUCACAACUCAUGACGGUAUCGACAGAAGAAGCACCGGCUAACUACGUGCCAGCAGCCGCGGUAAUACGUAGGGUGCGAGCGUUAAUCGGAAUUACUGGGCGUAAAGGGUGCGCAGGCGGCUUUGUAAGUCAGAUGUGG
RNAcentral lists this ribosomal RNA (419 nucleotides) under uncultured ammonia-oxidizing beta proteobacterium. RNAcentral describes it as "bacterial SSU rRNA". It matches the Rfam family "Bacterial small subunit ribosomal RNA", at positions 197 to 597 of the family's 1533-position model. Lineage: Bacteria; Pseudomonadati; Pseudomonadota; Betaproteobacteria. The record is from RNAcentral.